This 465-nucleotide ribosomal RNA is filed under the name uncultured ammonia-oxidizing beta proteobacterium. Its description in RNAcentral is "bacterial SSU rRNA". It matches the Rfam family "Bacterial small subunit ribosomal RNA", at positions 199 to 645 of the family's 1533-position model. Lineage: Bacteria; Pseudomonadati; Pseudomonadota; Betaproteobacteria. The record is from RNAcentral.
GGAGGAAGUAGGGGAUCGUAAGACCUUGCGCUUUUGGAGUGGCCGAUGCCUGAUUAGCUAGUUGGUGGGGUAAGAGCCUACCAAGGCGACGAUCAGUAGUUGGUCUGAGAGGACGACCAGCCACAUUGGGACUGAGACACGGCCCAGACUCCUACGGGAGGCAGCAGUGGGGAAUUUUGGACAAUGGGCGAAAGCCUGGUCCAGCAAUGCCGCGUGAGUGAAGAAGGCCUUCGGGUUGUAAAGCUCUUUCAGUCGAGAAGAAAAGGUUGCGACUAAUAAUCGCAACUUAUGACGGUAUCGACAGAAGAAGCACCGGCUAACUACGUGCCAGCAGCCGCGGUAAUACGUAGGGUGCGAGCGUUAAUCGGAAUUACUGGGCGUAAAGGGUGCGCAGGCGGCUCUGUAAGUCAGAUGUGAAAUCCCCGGGCUUAACCUGGGAAUUGCGUUUGAAACUACAAGGCUAGA